Molecule: long non-coding RNA, 276 nt
Filed under: Panax ginseng (ginseng)
Lineage: Eukaryota; Viridiplantae; Streptophyta; Magnoliopsida; Apiales; Araliaceae
Description: long non-coding RNA (PGIN_LNC012987)
Source: RNAcentral
AUCAAAUAAAAUUUUCUUAAUACCAUUUCAACAAACGGUUCAUUUGCGUAAUGAUUUAAAUCAUAAAUCUGUAUUGGUGGCAGUAUAAUGGUGAGUGAGUUUGAUUUGUGAGUGUUUGAUUGAUUACAGUUAUGUGUGUAUAUUUGUGCAUAUAUUAUGUGUGUUGUGUGUACGGAGACAAUUUAGUUCAUACUCAUUGCGAAUUACCACUCCUACAUAUUAUGACGAAAUCUUCGAACCUGUAGAUAAAAAAAUAAUGAAUAGUAAAUAAGCGGG